This is a long non-coding RNA of Rhincodon typus (whale shark), 903 nucleotides long. RefSeq lists it as uncharacterized. Lineage: Eukaryota; Metazoa; Chordata; Chondrichthyes; Orectolobiformes; Rhincodontidae. The transcript has 4 exons. The record is from RefSeq and is a predicted model, not a curated record.
CACUCCUGACCUGUGCCCUGUAGAGUGUGGGCAGGCUUUGGGGAGUCAGGAGACUGCCGGGACCAUUCUAAAUCACAGAAACUUUGGAAAAUCAUCACCUGUGUAUCCAUUAACUGCGCAGCUACCCCUUUCAUAACCGAAGAGCCAUCACUGGCUCGGGUGACAUCUGCUACCCAUCCCGAAUCCCUGGAGGAAGUGGGGAUCUAGGAGAACAUGCAGACUGCUAUACAUGGCUUGGUCACUGGAAUAUUUCCCAAGUACAGCACUUGGAAUCUUUGAACAAGCUCACUCUUGGGCACUGGAAACUCCACUGCAGACAAGAGAACACAAGACAGAAAGGAAGUCUUAGAUGGUACAAAUUUAACACAAAGUCAUGGUCACCAAAAUACAGUCAUGCUCCCAUGAAGAGCUGCUGAGGAAAUUCAUCAAUGACAACAAUCAUGUAGUAGCAACGCCAGAUUUAAUCUUCAUUCAGAUGGUGUUUGCAAUUUACUGUUUCCUCUGGGGUCUCAUCAGUGGCAGCACUAACCCAAGCCAGAAAACAUCAGCAUUGUUCCAGCUCCUGCAUAAUGACUGAUCAAACAGCAUCAAAUAAAUGGAAUGAAGAUGAGUAUUUUUUACCUAAUAAGGUUACAAUGAGGGUACGAAGGCAGAACUGAUGUUAUGAUGGCUUCGUAUUUAAUAUUUGUGUGAACUUGAGUUUGUACGACAGUGGAAAUGCCUAUACUGUCUUACUUUCUUAAAAGAAAUCCAUGAAAAGACUUGGAACAUUUAUUAAUAAGGUAUUUCUUGGAAAACACAUGAGACCAUCACUACUUUUAUUUUUCUCCUUUUUGGUUUGGAACUGAGAGUCGCAGUUAAGAGUUGAACUUUGAACAGCAGCUUGUUUGAAAAACAAGAGAG